RNAcentral lists this long non-coding RNA (2592 nucleotides) under Homo sapiens (human). RNAcentral describes it as "HSALNT0077630". Lineage: Eukaryota; Metazoa; Chordata; Mammalia; Primates; Hominidae. The record is from RNAcentral.
AGCAGCUUUCAGGAUGAGGUAAUUAAAAGAAACCUAUCAAUUUGAGAUUUUUUUUUACCGUGAGUAAAUAAUGUUGACAUACUGUUCAAAUAAACCCACAAUUUACUGCAAUCUGUUUUUAGAGAAACCCUCCACUUUAACCUCCAAAUAGGAAAAAACGAAGAGACUUUCCUCUUCUCAUUUAAUCAAGAACAUAUGUUCAAAGAUAAUACCGGAGGCUUAUUCUGGGAAGCGUUCUGCUCUUCCUCCGACAGCCACGCAGCGAGCUCACGAGGCAGCCUCCACACAUAAUGAAAGCAAACGCCACCAUAAAUCUCCCGCUCGGCGGAGGUCACUUCAGAAAAAUCGCCCGCUGCUCAGAUAAGCACCAGCUUUGCUGAGGAACAUGGAAGGGGGAAAACACCGACUGUGAUAAACACCAGCAGGUAGGCUCCAAAUGGAGGCCAACCCAGGCAACUCGGAGAGAAGGGAGCCGGGAUGAAGCAGGAUGACUGGAGUCCGCUGGAACCUGGAAUGGAGUUUUCUGACAGCAAAGGAUUACAGGAGCGUAACAGAAAUUAUGGAGAUUUCCCCGCUAGGCAUAAGGAUGCGAUCACUGUAGGCACCUGUGGGCCCAAGCAGGUUACCCACCAAUAUCCCUUUAAACACCAAAUUAUGGACUAUUAGGCCACUGCUUCAAGGCUUCUACAAAUGUGAAACCUUGACAAAUUCCCAAAUAAAAGCCAUAAAACCAAUCAUUUUUUAAACCUGUAUGAGUGACACCAGGAAAAUUACAGCAGUGUGGCAGGUCACUGUGAAAUAAAGCUGCCAGAAAGAAGCUUACGAUGCUGUCAUGGAAAAGGCAAUUAGAAGGUUACUUUCUCUCAGGUCUAAGAUUGGUUCUUGUUCUUCCUACAGCUCCCUGCCUUCCACCUCCCUGCUGCAAAAUGGAUCAAUCUAUAAUAAGUAGUAGUUAUAUAUCAUAAGGCAGCAAUUCCUUUUAGUUGUUCCACUAUAAAAAAGCAUCCAGAUUUAGAACUUGACAGGAACCAGUAUCGCCUGCCCCCCAGAGCCGGCAGAAAGUCUGUGUAUGUCAUUCAGCCAGCAUGGAGUCUGGGUGUUUUAAAAGCUUUAAUUUGAAGGGGAUAAAAAACCUGGGCGUUAAGCAAUUUGGCUGUGGAUAUUUAAUGCAUCAGCCACGCUAUAGAAUUGGAGUCCUCUAUUUAAAAUGAGAAAUUGAAAACUUACACGCUCUGUAGGCAAGGUGUAAGUAAAUGUAGGAUGGUAAGCAGAAAUCAGCUGAGAACCUGCAGAAACGCCAUUAGAAGGACUAAUGGCAUGGUUCAGAAGUGGCCUUAAACAAAUGCUAGGGUGUCGUUUGUAAGUGUGUAAAACAGGUCUGGCUUUUAAUUAGCAGGAGCCAUAUCUCCCUGUGUUUAGGAAAAGGCAUUACUUCUCAAAGAGAAUAUCCUAACGGGGUCUACAUAGGGACCAGGAGGAAACAAUGGCCCGGGAGUUGAGAUUUGCCUCAAGGCACGUUCCUCCUCAAUGGCAGCGUGGAGAUUGGAACUCAGUCUCCUUAUCUCUAAUUUCCACUCUAACACACUUAUUGUAGGUAGAAAAAAUGCAUCCCAAAGAUGUCUACUUCUUACUCCCCAGAACCUGUACAUACAGCACCUUACAUGGCAAAAGUGACUUUGCAGAUACGAUUGAGUUAAGGGUUUUGAGAUAGGGAGAUUACCAGGUGGCCCAACGGAAUCACAAGGGGCCUGAUAAGUAUGAGAGGGAGCAGAAGAGUGAGGGUCAGAGUCAGAGAGAGACUGGAAGAUGCUAUACCACUGGCUUUGAAGAUGAAGGAGGGGGACACAAGCCAAGGAAUGCAGGCAGCCUCUAAAUGCAGGAAAAGGUUUACUCCAUUCAUUAGAGGAGAUGACAGAACUCUUGACAGCAAUGCUAUCAAGAAGGAAGUUUCAGUUUAAGAACCCCUCUGGGCUUGCAGAAUGACACACACUGCAGCCAAGAUGGUGCUACUAUAAGAAAUGGACUCCCCAGCACGUUAUUGAAGAAAAAAAAAACCUGCAGCAAUCAAAAAAAAAAGGGGGGACGGGGGCAAAUCUAUAACUUCAGCUGGAAGUGAUGAAAAUUAACUGUUAGAAGUAGAAGAGACCUUAUGCUACUAAAAUAAUAAUCAUCACUUCAAAUAUUUCCUGCUCUUGAAAUAUUUUGUCAGUGCCCUGUGAUAUCGGGAAAUAAAGUUACGUUCAUUUCCAGUUUUAAGAUGGAAAUGGGAGUUCACAUUAGCGUACAUACAUAUUUUGUGAAAUGGAAAAAUGAGACCCACUGUCAGCCACAAUAAUAAGUACAUUCCUCAAAAAAUGAAGACUUCUGGUUUGAUUUCAUUGACCUGUUAGGAAUGGUUAACUUUUUAAUUUUUUUUUUUUUUGAAUACAAAUUUUGAGUUAUCUCUCCCAAGGCCAUCAUGUCAUCAAUUUCUUAGGAAUAUAGAGAAAAGGUUGAACUAUAUGCCUAUGAAUCUGUGAAUAAAUUACUCUUCUUAUCUAUGGAAAUGUCCCCUACACUUAAAAAGUAUGGUCAGCAUUAUGUAAGCUAAAC